GCAUAUCAAUAAGCGGAGGAAAAGAAACCAACAGGGAUUGCCUCAGUAACGGCGAGUGAAGCGGCAACAGCUCAAAUUUGAAAUCUGGCCCUUUCAGGGUCCGAGUUGUAAUUUGUAGAGGAUGUUUCGGGUGUGGCUCCGGUCUAAGUUCCUUGGAACAGGACGUCAUAGAGGGUGAGAAUCCCGUAUGUGACUGGUAGCCUAUGCCCAUGUGAAACUCCUUCGACGAGUCGAGUUGUUUGGGAAUGCAGCUCAAAAUGGGUGGUAAAUUUCAUCUAAAGCUAAAUAUUGGCCAGAGACCGAUAGCGCACAAGUAGAGUGAUCGAAAGAUGAAAAGCACUUUGGAAAGAGAGUUAAACAGUACGUGAAAUUGUUGAAAGGGAAGCGCUUGCAACCAGACUUGCAUGUAGCUGAUCAACCGGUGUUCUCACCGGUGCACUCAGUUGCGUUCAGGCCAGCAUCGGUUUCGACGGUUGGAUAAAGGCCUUGGGAAUGUAGCUCCUCUCGGGGAGUGUUAUAGCCCAGGGUGCAAUGCAGCCUGUUGGGACCGAGGACCGCGCUUCGGCUAGGAUGCUGGCGUAAUGGUUGUAAGCGACCCGUCUUGAAACACGGACCAAGGAGUCUAACAUCUAUGCGAGUGUUUGGGUGUCAAACCCAUACGCGUAAUGAAAGUGAACGGAGGUGAGAACCCUUAAGGGUGCAUCAUCGACCGAUCCUGAUGUCUUCGGAUGGAUUUGAGUAAGAGCAUAGCUGUUGGGACCCGAAAGAUGGUGAACUAUGCCUGAAUAGGGUGAAGCCAGAGGAAACUCUGGUGGAGGCUCGCAGCGGUUCUGACGUGCAAAUCGAUCGUCAAAUUUGGGUAUAGGGGCGAAAGACUAAUCGAACCAUCUAGUAGCUGGUUCCUGCGA
This 908-nucleotide ribosomal RNA is filed under the name Allantophomopsiella pseudotsugae. RNAcentral describes it as "LSU rRNA". It matches the Rfam family "Eukaryotic large subunit ribosomal RNA", at positions 38 to 963 of the family's 3401-position model. The record is from RNAcentral. Lineage: Eukaryota; Fungi; Ascomycota; Leotiomycetes; Phacidiales; Phacidiaceae.